GGGUUGUGAGGUUAAGCGACUAAGCGUACACGGUGGAUGCCCUGGCAGUCAGAGGCGAUGAAGGGCGUGCUAAUCUGCGAUAAGCGCCGGUAAGGUGAUAUGAACCGUUAUAACCGGCGAUACCCGAAUGGGGAAACCCAGUGUGACUCGUCACACUAUCAUUAACUGAAUCCAUAGGUUAA
RNAcentral lists this ribosomal RNA (182 nucleotides) under Salmonella enterica. RNAcentral's name for it is "partial 23S ribosomal RNA". It matches the Rfam family "Bacterial large subunit ribosomal RNA", at positions 1 to 174 of the family's 2925-position model. Lineage: Bacteria; Pseudomonadati; Pseudomonadota; Gammaproteobacteria; Enterobacterales; Enterobacteriaceae. The record is from RNAcentral. RNAcentral also lists the same sequence under 1 other name.